Molecule: ribosomal RNA, 578 nt
Filed under: uncultured bacterium
Lineage: Bacteria
Description: bacterial SSU rRNA
Rfam family: Bacterial small subunit ribosomal RNA
Source: RNAcentral
CCUACGGGAGGCAGCAGUGAGGAAUAUUGGACAAUGGAGGAGACUCUGAUCCAGCCAUGCCGCGUGUAGGAAGAAUGCCCUAUGGGUUGUAAACUACUUUUAUACAGGAAGAAACACUGGUAUGUAUACCAGCUUGACGGUACUGUAAGAAUAAGGACCGGCUAACUCCGUGCCAGCAGCCGCGGUAAUACGGAGGGUCCGAGCGUUAUCCGGAAUCAUUGGGUUUAAAGGGUCCGCAGGCGGUCGAUUAAGUCAGAGGUGAAAUCCCAUAGCUCAACUAUGGAACUGCCUUUGAUACUGGUUGACUUGAGUCAUAUGGAAGUAGAUAGAAUGUGUAGUGUAGCGGUGAAAUGCAUAGAUAUUACACAGAAUACCGAUUGCGAAGGCAGUCUACUACGUAUGUACUGACGCUGAGGGACGAAAGCGUGGGGAGCGAACAGGAUUAGAUACCCUGGUAGUCCACGCCGUAAACGAUGGAUACUAGUUGUUGGGAUUUAUCUCAGUGACUAAGCGAAAGUGAUAAGUAUCCCACCUGGGGAGUACGGUCGCAAGACUGAAACUCAAAGGAAUUGACGGGG